Molecule: ribosomal RNA, 497 nt
Filed under: uncultured bacterium
Lineage: Bacteria
Description: partial 16S ribosomal RNA
Rfam family: Bacterial small subunit ribosomal RNA
Source: RNAcentral
GAUGAACGCUGGCGGCGUGCCUAAUACAUGCAAGUCGAGCGAACAGAUGAGGAGCUUGCUCCUCUGACGUUAGCGGCGGACGGGUGAGUAACACGUGGAUAACCUACCUAUAAGACUGGGAUAACUUCGGGAAACCGGAGCUAAUACCGGAUAAUAUAUUGAACCGCAUGGUUCAAUAGUGAAAGACGGUUUUGCUGUCACUUAUAGAUGGAUCCGCGCCGCAUUAGCUAGUUGGUAAGGUAACGGCUUACCAAGGCAACGAUGCGUAGCCGACCUGAGAGGGUGAUCGGCCACACUGGAACUGAGACACGGUCCAGACUCCUACGGGAGGCAGCAAUAGGGAAUCUUCCGCAAUGGGCGAAAGCCUGACGGAGCAACGCCGCGUGAGUGAUGAAGGUCUUAGGAUCGUAAAACUCUGUUAUUAGGGAAGAACAAAUGUGUAAGUAACUAUGCACGUCUUGACGGUACCUAAUCAGAAAGCCACGGCUAACUACGUG